Molecule: ribosomal RNA, 469 nt
Filed under: uncultured bacterium
Lineage: Bacteria
Description: partial 16S ribosomal RNA
Rfam family: Bacterial small subunit ribosomal RNA
Source: RNAcentral
GAUGAACGCUGGCGGCGUGCUUAACACAUGCAAGUCGAACGGUGAACACGGAGCUUGCUCUGUGGGAUCAGUGGCGAACGGGUGAGUAACACGUGAGCAACCUGCCCCUGACUCUGGGAUAAGCGCUGGAAACGGCGUCUAAUACUGGCUAUGUGACGUGACCGCAUGGUCUGCGUUUGGAAAGAUUUUUCGGUUGGGGAUGGGCUCGCGGCCUAUCAGCUGGUUGGUGAGGUAAUGGCUCACCAAGGCGUCGACGGGUAGCCGGCCUGGGAUGGUGACCGGCCACACUGGGAUUGAGACACGGCCCAGACUCCUAAGGGAGGCAGCAGUGGGGAAGAUUGCACAAUGGGCGAGAGCCUGAUGUAGUAACGCCGCGUGAGGGAUGACGGCCUUCGGGUUGUAAACCUUUUUUAGCAGGGAAGAAGCGAAAGUGACGGUACCUGCAGAAAAAGCGCCGGCUAACUACGUG